GAUGAACGCUAGCGGCAGGCUUAACACAUGCAAGUCGAGGGGCAGCACGGGUAGCAAUACCUGGUGGCGACCGGCGCAAGGGUGCGUAACGCGUGAGCAACAUGCCCUAUACAGGGGGAUAAUCCAGGGAAACUUGGUCUAAUAUCCCAUAGUAUUUAGAGGAGGCAUCUUCUAUAAAUUAAAGCUUCGGUGGUAUAGGAUUGGCUCGCGUGACAUUAGCUAGAUGGUGAGGUAACGGCUCACCAUGGCAAUGAUGUCUAGGGGUUCUGAGAGGAAGGCCCCCCACACUGGAACUGAGACACGGUCCAGACUCCUACGGGAGGCAGCAGUGGGGAAUUUUGGACAAUGGGCGCAAGCCUGAUCCAGCCAUUCCGCGUGCAGGAUGAAGGCCUUCGGGUUGUAAACUGCUUUUGUACGGAACGAAACGGUCUGCCCUAAUACGGUGGGCUAAUGACGGUACCGUAAGAAUAAGCACCGGCUAACUACGUG
Molecule: ribosomal RNA, 489 nt
Filed under: uncultured bacterium
Lineage: Bacteria
Description: partial 16S ribosomal RNA
Rfam family: Bacterial small subunit ribosomal RNA
Source: RNAcentral